GACGAACGCUGGCGGCGUGCUUAACACAUGCAAGUCGAACGGAAAGGCCCUGCAUUUGUGGGGUGCUCGAGUGGCGAACGGGUGAGUAACACGUGAGUAACCUGCCCUUGACUUUGGGAUAACUUCGGGAAACUGGGGCUAAUACCGGAUAGGAGCUCCUGCUGCAUGGUGGGGGUUGGAAAGUUUCGGCGGUUGGGGAUGGACUCGCGGCUUAUCAGCUUGUUGGUGGGGUAGUGGCUUACCAAGGCUUUGACGGGUAGCCGGCCUGAGAGGGUGACCGGCCACAUUGGGACUGAGAUACGGCCCAGACUCCUACGGGAGGCAGCAGUGGGGAAUAUUGCACAAUGGGCGGAAGCCUGAUGCAGCAACGCCGCGUGCGGGAUGACGGCCUUCGGGUUGUAAACCGCUUUCGCCUGUGACGAAGCGUGAGUGACGGUAAUGGGUAAAGAAGCACCGGCUAACUACGUG
Molecule: ribosomal RNA, 468 nt
Filed under: uncultured bacterium
Lineage: Bacteria
Description: partial 16S ribosomal RNA
Rfam family: Bacterial small subunit ribosomal RNA
Source: RNAcentral